GAUGAACGCUGGCGGCGUGCCUAAUACAUGCAAGUCGAGCGAACGGACGAGAAGCUUGCUUCUCUGAUGUUAGCGGCGGACGGGUAAGUAACACGUGGAUAACCUACCUAUAAGACUGGGAUAACUUCGGGAAACCGGAGCUAAUACCGGAUAAUAUUUUGAACCGCAUGGUUCAAAAGUGAAAGACGGUCUUGCUGUCACUUAUAGAUGGAUCCGCGCUGCAUUAGCUAGUUGGUAAGGUAACGGCUUACCAAGGCAACGAUGCAUAGCCGACCUGAGAGGGUGAUCGGCCACACUGGAACUGAGACACGGUCCAGACUCCUACGGGAGGCAGCAGUAGGGAAUCUUCCGCAAUGGGCGAAAGCCUGACGGAGCAACGCCGCGUGAGUGAUGAAGGUCUUCGGAUCGUAAAACUCUGUUAUUAGGGAAGAACAUAUGUGUAAGUAACUGUGCACAUCUUGACGGUACCUAAUCAGAAAGCCACGGCUAACUACGCG
This 497-nucleotide ribosomal RNA is filed under the name uncultured bacterium. Its description in RNAcentral is "partial 16S ribosomal RNA". It matches the Rfam family "Bacterial small subunit ribosomal RNA", at positions 28 to 507 of the family's 1533-position model. The record is from RNAcentral.